Non-coding RNA from Picea glauca (white spruce), 124 nucleotides. NCBI's taxonomy places the organism in Eukaryota, Viridiplantae, Streptophyta, Pinopsida, Pinales, Pinaceae. The record is from Rfam.
ACAUGCCUACAAUAUAACGUUAAUAUUGCACUAGAUCCCAUUAGAACUUCGUAGUUGAGCACGCUCGGGCUAGAGUAGUACUGGGAUGGGUGACCGCCCGGGAAGUCCUAGUAUUCUACAUGCC